RNAcentral lists this ribosomal RNA (447 nucleotides) under Triticum aestivum (bread wheat). RNAcentral's name for it is "partial small subunit ribosomal RNA". The record is from RNAcentral. Lineage: Eukaryota; Viridiplantae; Streptophyta; Magnoliopsida; Poales; Poaceae.
AUGCGUGCAGGCAUAUUUGUCUUUCCGUUGGCAGUGCACAGGCACUGUAGGUGGCAUAUUAUUAAGAAGGCCGAGGAGACGCUAGGACCAUUCUUCACUGACCGUCCAGAGCUACACAAGGCAUUCGAGUUGUGCGUGGACCACAGCUUGACGGUGGAGGAGUUUGAACGGAGCUGGGCAUCUAUGAUUGAAACACACCAAGUCCAAGACCGCAAGACACUUACUAGCCUGUGGGAGAGGCAAAUGUACUAUGUGCCGGCCUACUUCAUGCAGCGCUUCUUUCCAUUUCUGCAGACUACACAGCGCAGCGAGGGGUUCAAUGCUGUUUUGAAGCGGUACGUGAGCUCUCGCAACUCAUUGCUGCAGUUUUCCAAGCAGUACACAGCUUUGCAACAGAAAAUACUGGGAUCUGAGCUACAACAAGAAGCAAACACCGCACUCAAGUAG